Molecule: non-coding RNA, 108 nt
Organism: Acanthosepion pharaonis
Lineage: Eukaryota; Metazoa; Mollusca; Cephalopoda; Sepiida; Sepiidae
Source: the annotation of a GenBank genome assembly
CCAUAUUACAUUGAAACACCGAUUCUCAUACAAUCACUGGAGUUAAGCAACAUCAAGCCUAGUUAGUACCUAGAUUGGUGACCGCUUGCGAACACCAGGUGCUGUAAG